UACGAAGGGGGCGAGCGUUGUUCGGAAUUACUGGGCGUAAAGGGCGCGUAGGCGGCGACCCAAGUCAGAUGUGAAAGUCCUGGGCUUAACCUGGGGACUGCAUUUGAUACUGGGCUGCUUGAAUUCGGGAGAGGAUAGCGGAAUUCCCAGUGUAGAGGUGAAAUUCGUAGAUAUUGGGAAGAACACCGGUGGCGAAGGCGGCUAUCUGGACCGACAUUGACGCUGAGGCGCGAAAGCGUGGGGAGCAAACAGG
RNAcentral lists this ribosomal RNA (253 nucleotides) under uncultured bacterium. RNAcentral's name for it is "partial 16S ribosomal RNA". It matches the Rfam family "Bacterial small subunit ribosomal RNA", at positions 524 to 776 of the family's 1533-position model. The record is from RNAcentral.